GUUUCCGUAGUGUAGUGGUUAUCACGUUUGCCUCACACGCAAAAGGUCCCCAGUUUAAAACUGGGUGGAAACA
RNAcentral lists this transfer RNA (73 nucleotides) under Danionella translucida. It matches the Rfam family "tRNA". From Rfam's summary of the family: Transfer RNA (tRNA) molecules are approximately 80 nucleotides in length. Their secondary structure includes four short double-helical elements and three loops (D, anti-codon, and T loops). Further hydrogen bonds mediate the characteristic L-shaped molecular structure. tRNAs have two regions of fundamental functional importance: the anti-codon, which is responsible for specific mRNA codon recognition, and the 3' end, to which the tRNAs corresponding amino acid is attached (by aminoacyl-tRNA synthetases). tRNAs cope with the degeneracy of the genetic code in two manners: having more than one tRNA (with a specific anti-codon) for a particular amino acid; and 'wobble' base-pairing, i.e. permitting non-standard base-pairing at the 3rd anti-codon position. RNAcentral also lists the same sequence under 1 other name. The record is from Rfam by way of RNAcentral. Lineage: Eukaryota; Metazoa; Chordata; Actinopteri; Cypriniformes; Danionidae.